Molecule: long non-coding RNA, 335 nt
Organism: Maylandia zebra (zebra mbuna)
Lineage: Eukaryota; Metazoa; Chordata; Actinopteri; Cichliformes; Cichlidae
Source: RefSeq, a predicted model, not a curated record
CUUGCGCCUCUGUUUCAACGUGUGACCCCGCCCCUCCUUCGGACAGUCGGGGAUGAGUGCGCUAACAUACCUGUAGGUUGCUGUUUUAAUGAGUGUUUGAUGGAAAAAGACAGUCGCAUGAUAGGUCUGGACUUUGGGUCCUGCUAUCCUGCCUGCACACAGCCUACACAUGACAGAAAGUCCUCCUUUUUUUUGUACCUGAUGAGCAGUUACACAGUCUGUUUGGAAGCAGCUGUGACAUAGAGUUGCUGCAGUCAAUGGAUGCCAUGACAGACCUACAGCGACAGUGGUGGCUGGAUAAAUGUACUCAAAAUGCGUACCUCAUCACUCCGAAG